CUGCCCCGGGUGCGUCGCAGCCCCGGACCAAGGCGCCCGCCGGAGGACCAACCAAAACUCUUUUUGUAUACCCCCUCGCGGGUUUUUUAUAAUCUGAGCCUUCUCGGCGCCUCUCGUAGGCGUUUCGAAAAUGAAUCAAAACUUUCAACAACGGAUCUCUUGGUUCUGGCAUCGAUGAAGAACGCAGCGAAAUGCGAUAAGUAAUGUGAAUUGCAGAAUUCAGUGAAUCAUCGAAUCUUUGAACGCACAUUGCGCCCGCCAGUAUUCUGGCGGGCAUGCCUGUCCGAGCGUCAUUUCAACCCUCGAACCCCUCCGGGGGGUCGGCGUUGGGGAUCGGCCCUGCCUCUUGGCGGUGGCCGUCUCCGAAAUACAGUGGCGGUCUCGCCGCAGCCUCUCCUGCGCAGUAGUUUGCACACUCGCAUCGGGAGCGCGGCGCGUCCACAGCCGUUAAACACCCAACUUCUGAAAUGUUGACCUCGGAUCAGGUAGGAAUACCCGCUGAACUUAAGCAUAUCAAUAAGCGGAGGA
This 528-nucleotide ribosomal RNA is filed under the name Trichoderma sp. S186. RNAcentral's name for it is "eukaryotic LSU rRNA". The stretch from base 140 to 293 matches the Rfam family "5.8S ribosomal RNA". Lineage: Eukaryota; Fungi; Ascomycota; Sordariomycetes; Hypocreales; Hypocreaceae. The record is from RNAcentral.